ACUCCUACGGGAGGCAGCAGUGGGAAUAUUGCGCAAUGGACGAAAGUACUGACGCAGCGACGCCGCGUGGAGGAUGUAAGGUUUCGGUAUCGUAAACUCCUGUCAAGAGGGAAGAAACCUAUCAUGAAUAAUACUUAUGGUAAUUGACGGUACCUCUAGAGGAAGCACCGGCUAAUUCAGUGCCAGCAGCCGCGGUAAUACUGAAGGUGCAAGCGUUAAUCGGAAUCACUGGGCGUAAAGCGCUCGUAGGUGGCUUUGUAAGUCAGGUGUGAAAGCCCACGGCUCAACCGUGGAAUUGCACUUGAUACUGCAUCGCUAGAGUAUAGGAGAGGGAAGUGGAAUUUCUGGUGUAGGAGUGAAAUCCGUAGAGAUCAGAAGGAACACCCGUGGCGAAGGCGACUUCCUGGACUAUUACUGACACUGAGGAGCGAAA
This 433-nucleotide ribosomal RNA is filed under the name uncultured bacterium. RNAcentral describes it as "bacterial SSU rRNA". It matches the Rfam family "Bacterial small subunit ribosomal RNA", at positions 335 to 758 of the family's 1533-position model. The record is from RNAcentral.